UAUCUUUUGUUCGUUUUCAGUUCUUAUCACGUAUAUAAGAGGUAUUACAAAAUAACAUGUCGUGUCUGUUUGGAAAACCCAAGCAAGCACCCACCGACGCUGAUUCGUAAGUUCAUGGCAGGACUUGCGCAUAUGGAGGUGUUGGGAAUUGCAGACACAACAUCAGUUUCAAAAUACACGGUGUCGAUGGAUUUGAGGGAAGCAAACGACAACGGAGGAGGAGACACGUGUUUGUUUGUUCGCAUGACGUGUCAGUCAUUUUUGGAUACUAAAGUCACACCUGACGUCAACUAACUAAGGAGAUCUAGCCGUAUAUAAUAGUGGGGUAAUUGAAUUAGAUGUUUUGGGUUGGGUUUGGAAUUUAUAGUGGGCCUAACAAAGGCUUUUCAUGAUCAAGCUACCAACACAGCAACAGCCACCGCAAGAGUGGAGAUCCCAUCUCAGCAUCACUUCAUUGGUGACUAGUAACCUAGACAAGGCAACAAUUUCCCCCGAUCUUACAGGAUUCGAAAACAGGAACAGAGAACUCCAAAUGGACGGCAGCCAUUUGUCUUUUAUACUUUGAAUCGAUAUGGACCGACCUUUGUCGUCUUCUUCUUGUUAGUUAAAUGGAAUGUUGAGUUUAAGACUUGUUGUCUUUUAGAAAAUACUUCUGUUGUGCAUGCCGUAAGGUAUCCACUAAAAUGGAAAAUGAGUUAUGUUGGAUAAGCUUCAAUAACGUCGAGCUCAAGACAUCCGUAACAAGUCGGUUAAAGGAUACGAUAGGCUAAAUAAGGAACAUAGCUAUUUCUAUUAAGAAAAGAAAAAAAGUAGUUUUCCAUUACGUAUAGAAAUAGGAGUUUGUUCAAUGAGAAUUUACUAUAUAAGGAGAUGCCGAGUUGUGGUAUCCCUCAAGAAAAAGCAUUAGCUUUGUGUUUAGUUUUUAGAAAAGAUUUUCUAAACAUCAAUAAAAAAAGGUAGUUUUUAUUCAAA
Ricinus communis (castor bean) is the source of this 972-nucleotide long non-coding RNA. RefSeq lists it as uncharacterized. The record is from RefSeq and is a predicted model, not a curated record. Lineage: Eukaryota; Viridiplantae; Streptophyta; Magnoliopsida; Malpighiales; Euphorbiaceae. The transcript is spliced from 2 exons.